Molecule: long non-coding RNA, 222 nt
Filed under: Vicia faba (fava bean)
Lineage: Eukaryota; Viridiplantae; Streptophyta; Magnoliopsida; Fabales; Fabaceae
Source: RNAcentral
AUGUUCCAACGUUUAACUAAAGCUUCAUGCCGAAUGCCUUAUAAUAUUACUUUUCAGCCAUGCCUUGCUAGUUGGCUUCAAGUUCACACUUCUUUUGAGGGCCAAUCCCAGUGUGCGCAAAGAGGGUUCAUUAUGAAUUACACCAAAAUAAUUGAAUCUUCCAAACCAUUCUCCCCUUUAUGCCCUAUAAGAACAAACUUACUGCAUUCUUCUAACAUCUAG